GAUGAACGCUGGCGGCGUGCCUAAUACAUGCAAGUCGAACGAAUCUCUUUUAGAGAUGAGUGGCGUACGGGUGAGUAAUACAUAGGUAACCUGCCCCUGUGCGGGGGAUAACAGGAGGAAACUCCUGCUAAUACCGCAUAGCCAUGAGCACCGCAUGGAGCUCAUGCCAAAUAUCCUUUCGGGGAUAGCGCAGGGAUGGACCUAUGGCGCAUUAGCUUGUUGGCGGGGCAACGGCCCACCAAGGCAACGAUGCGUAGCCGGCCUGAGAGGGCGGACGGCCACAUUGGGACUGAGACACGGCCCAGACUCCUACGGGAGGCAGCAGUAGGGAAUUUUCGGCAAUGGGGGAAACCCUGACCGAGCAACGCCGCGUGAGCGAAGAAGGCCUUCGGGUCGUAAAGC
Molecule: ribosomal RNA, 402 nt
Filed under: uncultured bacterium
Lineage: Bacteria
Description: bacterial SSU rRNA
Rfam family: Bacterial small subunit ribosomal RNA
Source: RNAcentral